GCUUCAAUGGUUAUAACGUUUAAAUUCAGAUUAACAGGUCGCGGGUUCGAGCCUCGCUUGGUGCA
RNAcentral lists this transfer RNA (65 nucleotides) under Schistocephalus solidus. It matches the Rfam family "tRNA". From Rfam's summary of the family: Transfer RNA (tRNA) molecules are approximately 80 nucleotides in length. Lineage: Eukaryota; Metazoa; Platyhelminthes; Cestoda; Diphyllobothriidea; Diphyllobothriidae. The record is from Rfam by way of RNAcentral.